GGCUGUCAUCACUGAAUUCUGAUGGGCUACCUGGAACUGGCUUAGGGUGGGAUUACAUACGCCUCCUGCCACAUCGGAUUUCCUUCUAUUUUGUCAGGGGUGGCAUCAUCCAGUGAGUAAAUCUGUUAGUGAUCUCCCUCGCAUAACCUAGGAAUUCUCUCAGGAUCCAUUUUUCCAGUAGUUUUGAGAAAGCGACCAACAACAGCAAAGAGAGUAGUUCUUCCAUUCCAAGAGCAGCCAUCUUGCUUAACUGACAAACUAGAGAGAACUGCAAGGACUCAGUACAUCCCUGGCACAGUCCAUUCUCUCUCACAGCAUAUUGUAUGAGACUGUGUGAGUGCUGCUUCCACGCUACACUAAAAACCCAUGGUCCCUGCAUUAUUUGAGCAACUGACAAGCUUCUGAAGUUCAGGUUCGCGAACGCUGAGAGCAGCACCCAGUGGAUUUGUGGCAGCGUUUCACUAUGUUGUCCAGGCUUGUUUCAAACUCCUGGGCUCAAGCCAUCAGCCUGCCUCAACCUCCUAAAGUGCUGACAUUACAGGCAUGAGCCACUGUGCCCAGCCAGGAAAUGUUUCAAAUACUUGAGAUUUUUGAUGAACCAAGCUGGCUGGUGUCGCCUCAGUUUGUCUAAAUUACCAAGGACCGCUGGAAUUUCCCUGGGAAUAUGUUUCGGGAAAGGUCAGAAACUCUUCAGUCGUCUUCACGCUUCCACUCAGUAGCAACGUUUUUGCACACUCAUUGACUAUCAACUGGUUGUCUAUGACUCAAAUUACAUAAUGAAUCCAGCACAUAAAUUAUUUACUCAGAUUUAAUGCCAGCAACUGUUAUCUUUGUAUUUUUUUCCCCUCUGCCAGCUAAUCUGGCUCAUUUCAUUGGAAUUUUGGUCAUGCCCAUUCUCCUUCUGCACUAAAUUAACUCCAUAACGUAGUAUAAACAGAACAAGCUUGUGUGUGAUAUGCUUAACUGUUAAUUUACCUAAUUAAACUAAUUCAAUUAAAUCAUUUACAUCUUUUUGGUAACAUGCCAGUUGAUACCACAGCAGAAGUGGGAUGUUUCAGAAGAUGAUUGUUCAGCAAAUGAAUGGAAAAAAAAAUAAAAGGAAAACAAAAUGAGACAACCGUCCAAAUCUCUUGGCUUGAAAAUUAAAUGAUACUGAAAAAAUGCAGCUUUCACGGGGCACUGUGAUUAGAUAUUUUUCUGAAAUCAAUUUUCUCUACAAAUUGGUAUUUUAACAGAGUGAUCACAAUCUAUUGUACAAAAUAUUUUAAACACUAUUUGUACAUUCACAUAUUUGGUAUGUUUAAGUAAAGUGUGCUUGUUCCCAC
RNAcentral lists this long non-coding RNA (1325 nucleotides) under Homo sapiens (human). RNAcentral describes it as "lncRNA oncogene in head and neck cancer 2". Lineage: Eukaryota; Metazoa; Chordata; Mammalia; Primates; Hominidae. The record is from RNAcentral.